CAGUAGCCACGGGAAUACGAAGGGUGCAAGCGUUAAUCGGAAUUACUGGGCGUAAGCGUGCGUAGGCGGUGAGUUAAGUCUGCUGUGAAAUCCCCGGGCUCAACCUGGGAAUGGCAGUGGAUACUGGCAAGCUAGAGUGUGUCAGAGGAUGGUGGAAUUCCCGGUGUAGCGGUGAAAUGCGUAGAGAUCGGGAGGAACAUCAGUGGCGAAGGCGGCCAUCUGGGACAACACUGACGCUGAGGCACGAAAGCGUGGGGAGCAAACAGGAUUAGAUACCCCAGUAGUCCCUGUCUCUUAUACA
This 301-nucleotide ribosomal RNA is filed under the name uncultured bacterium. Its description in RNAcentral is "partial 16S ribosomal RNA". It matches the Rfam family "Bacterial small subunit ribosomal RNA", at positions 509 to 808 of the family's 1533-position model. The record is from RNAcentral.